UAAUGCAGAGACAUGGGAGGAAUGUGUCUAUAUAUUGAGUUUGAAAUAGGAUGCGUGUUAUUUGGCCAUUGGCACAGUUUUAUUGCAUGGAAUUCUAAUUGGUCAACCACAGGCUAGGGCUGGGUUAUAAACUACAUCCUGUUCAUUUGUUCUGUGGGGAGAAUCACUGAGGACAGGGGAACAUGAACAUCUGCCAUCUACCUCUCAGCAUAAUAUCUUUGAUUUAUCGUAUUUGAAUAAACCAAUUUUCCUCCUCCUGAUUUGCUUUGGGGUCAGUGUAAUAAAAGAAUAACAUCAGCUGCUAACAUUUGGUGUCGUGACCGUGUGAAUUGGUCUGAACAACAAGAAAAACCCAACGGUGUGUUGAUCCAGAAGAAAGAGUGAAGGCUGAGCACAACCCACCUUGGGAGAGUCAACUCUUAAUCUCCUGAUUGAUGGCAGAAGUGCUGGGUGAGUCUAGACCAAUAUAAGUUUAAAAUAUCCAAAUUAGGUUAAAAUAUAUGCAUGGAAUAAGUGAUAGGUAUCUGUGAUGUAUAGGGGUUUGAGUCCUCUAUAUAAGGGUUGAGUCCUUUUGUUAAAUCCAGUGAUGUAUAGGGGUUUGAGUCCUCUAUAUAAGGGUUGAGUCCUUUUGUUAAAUCCAGUGAUGUAUAAGGGUUUGAGUCCUCUAUAUAAGGGUUGAGUCCUUUUGUUAAAUCCAGUGAUGUAUAGGGGUUUGAGUCCUCUAUAUAAGGGUUGAGUCCUUUUGUUAAAUCCAGUGAUGUAUAGGGGUUUGAGUCCUCUAUAUAAGGUUUGAGUCCUCUAUAUAAGGUUUGAGUCCUCUAUAUAAGGGUUGAGUCAUUUUGAUAAAUCCAGUGAUGUAUAGGGGUUUGAGUCCUCUAUAUAAGGGUUGAGUCCUUUUGUUAAAUCCAGUGAUGUAUAGGGGUUUGAGUCCUCUAUAUAAGGGUUGAGUCCUUUUGUUAAAUCCAGUGAUGUAUAGGGGUUUGAGUCCUCUAUAUAAGGUUUGAGUCCUCUAUAUAAGGUUUGAGUCCUCUAUAUAAGGUUUGAGUCCUCUAUAUAAGGUUUGAGUCCUCUAUAUAAGGGUUGAGUCAUUUUGAUAAAUCCAGUGAUGUAUAGGGGUUUGAGUCCUCUAUAUAAGGGUUGAGUCCUUUUGUUAAAUCCAGUGAUGUAUAGGGGUUUGAGUCCUCUAUAUAAGGGUUGAGUCCUUUUGUUAAAUCCAGUGAUGUAUAGGGGUUUGAGUCCUCUAUAUAAGGGUUGAGUCCUUUUGUAAAAUCCAGUGAUGUAUAAGGGUUUGAGUCCUCUAUAUAAGGGUUGAGUCCUUUUGUUAAAUCCAGUGAUGUAUAGGGGUUUGAGUCCUCUAUAUAAGGGUUGAGUCCUUUUGUUAAAUCCAGUGAUGUAUAGGGGUUUGAGUCCUCUAUAUAAGGGUUGAGUCCUUUUGUUAAAUCCAGUGAUGUAUAGGGGUUUGAGUCCUCUAUAUAAGGGUUGAGUCCUUUUGUUAAAUCCAGUGAUGUAUAAGGUUAGAGUCCACUGU
Non-coding RNA from Oncorhynchus mykiss (rainbow trout), 1528 nucleotides. NCBI's taxonomy places the organism in Eukaryota, Metazoa, Chordata, Actinopteri, Salmoniformes, Salmonidae. The record is from RefSeq and is a predicted model, not a curated record.